This 1346-nucleotide ribosomal RNA is filed under the name metagenome. Its description in RNAcentral is "bacterial SSU rRNA". It matches the Rfam family "Bacterial small subunit ribosomal RNA". The record is from RNAcentral.
AGAGUUUGAUCCUGGCUCAGGAUGAACGCUGGCGGCGUGCUUAACACAUGCAAGUCGAACGAUCCUUCGGGAUAGUGGCGGACGGGUGAGUAACGCGUGGGAAUCUGCCCUUAGGAGGGGGAUAACGGCUGGAAACGGCCGCUAAUACCCCAUAUGCCGAGAGGUGAAACGAAUUUCGCCUGAGGAUGAGCCCGCGUCUGAUUAGCUAGUUGGUGGGGUAAAGGCCUACCAAGGCGACGAUCAGUAGCUGGUCUGAGAGGAUGAUCAGCCACACUGGGACAGAGACACGGCCCAGACUCCUACGGGAGGCAGCAGUGGGGAAUUUUCCGCAAUGGGCGAAAGCCUGACGGAGCAACGCCGCGUGAGGGAUGAAGGCCUCUGGGCUGUAAACCUCUUUUCUCAAGGAAGAAGAACUGACGGUACUUGAGGAAUAAGCCACGGCUAAUUCCGUGCCAGCAGUCGCGGUAAUACGGGAGUGGCAAGCGUUAUCCGGAAUUAUUGGGCGUAAAGCGUCCGCAGGCGGCCUUGUAAGUCUGUUGUUAAAGCGUGGAGCUCAACUCCAUUUAAGCAGUGGAAACUACAAGGCUGGAGUGUGGUAGGGGCAGAGGGAAUUCCCGGUGUAGCGGUGAAAUGCGUAGAUAUCGGGAAGAACACCAGUGGCGAAGGCGCUCUGCUGGGCCAUAACUGACGCUCAUGGACGAAAGCCAGGGGAGCGAAAGGGAUUAGAUACCCCUGUAGUCCUGGCCGUAAACGAUGAACACUAGGUGUCGGGGGAAUCGACCCCCUCGGUGUCGUAGCCAACGCGUUAAGUGUUCCGCCUAGGGAGUACGCACGCAAGUGUGAAACUCAAAGGAAUUGACGGGGGCCCGCACAAGCGGUGGAGUAUGUGGUUUAAUUCGAUGCAACGCGAAGAACCUUACCAGGGUUUGACAUCCUGCGAAUCCCUUGGAAACGAGGGAGUGCCUUCGGGAGCGCAGUGACAGGUGGUGCAUGGCUGUCGUCAGCUCGUGUCGUGAGAUGUUGGGUUAAGUCCCGCAACGAGCGCAACCCACGUCUUUAGUUGCCAGCAUUCAGUUGGGCACUCUAGAGAGACCGCCGGUGAUAAACCGGAGGAAGGUGUGGAUGACGUCAAGUCAUCAUGCCCCUUACAUCCUGGGCUACACACGUACUACAAUGCUACGGACAAAGGGCAGCAAGCUCGCGAGAGUUAGCAAAUCCCAUAAACCGUGGCUCAGUUCAGAUCGUAGGCUGCAACUCGCCUACGUGAAGGAGGAAUCGCUAGUAAUCGCAGGUCAGCAUACUGCGGUGAAUACGUUCCCGGGCCUUGUACACACCGCCCGUCACAC